CCUACGGGGGGCAGCAGUGGGGAAUCUUGCGCAAUGGACGAAAGUCUGACGCAGCCACGCCGCGUGAGUGAAGAAGGCCUUCGGGUUGUAAAGCUCUGUCGGAGGGGACAAAAACGUUUAGGGUUAAUAGCCCUAGAUCUUGAUGGUACCCUUAAAGGAAGCACCGGCUAACUUCGUGCCAGCAGCCGCGGUAAUACGAAGGGUGCAAGCGUUGCUCGGAAUUAUUGGGCGUAAAGGGUAGGUAGGUGGUUACGUAUGUCUGAGGUGAAAGCCCUGAGCUCAACUCAGGAAGUGCCUUGGAAACGGCGUAACUAGAGUGCUAGAGAGGUUCGUGGAAUUCCCAGUGUAGCGGUGAAAUGCGUAGAGAUUGGGAGGAACACCAGAGGCGAAGGCGGCGAACUGGAUAGCAACUGACACUGAACUACGAAAGCGUGGGUAGCAAACAGGAUUAGAUACCCUGGUAGUCCACGCUGUAAACGAUGGGUACUAGGCUUCGUGGGAGUUGACCCCUGCGGAGCCGGAGCUAACGCAAUAAGUACCCCGCCUGGGAAGUACGGUCGCAAGACUAAAACUCAAAGGAAUUGACGGGAGCCCGCACAAGCGGUGGAUUAUGUGGUUUAAUUCGAAGCAACGCGCAGAACCUUACCUAGGUUUGACAUCCUUUGACAACUAGAGAGAUCUAGCUUUUGUAGCAAUACGACAAAGUGGCAGUGCUGCAUGGCUGUCGUCAGCUCGUGUGGUGGCAUGUCGGGUUAAGUCCCUCAACGAGCGCAACUCCUAUCUUUAGUUGCAGCAUUAGUGGGCACUCUAGAGAGACUGCGUGGUCACACGGAGAGGCGGGGAUGACGUCAGUCCUCAUGGCCUUACAUUCUAGGGCGACACAACGUAAUACAAUGGUCGAUAACAGA
This 908-nucleotide ribosomal RNA is filed under the name uncultured bacterium. RNAcentral describes it as "bacterial SSU rRNA". It matches the Rfam family "Bacterial small subunit ribosomal RNA", at positions 338 to 1243 of the family's 1533-position model. The record is from RNAcentral.